GCUGUGGAUUGUGGGAGGCGAGCGGCCGAUUUGGAUUUCCGUUCACGGCCACCGUCGGUGGCUCGCGAGCUUCUGAAGCGGCGGCUCGCUGGCUGGGCCUCCUCUACGUCGACUCAGCCCGAAGAAGGCCUUGGCCGAGUGGAGGCGGCGCGCGCUGUGGAUUGUGGGUGGCGAGCGGCUGAUUUGAAUUCCCGCUCACGGCCACUGUCAGUGGCUCGCGAAAGCUUCUGAAGCGGCGGCUCGCUGGGCCUCCUCUACGUUGACUCAGCCUGAAGGCCUUGUUCAGAUCACCUUGAGUGUGGGCCAAGGCAACUGCGUGCACGGACAGUGACCCACACUCGGUGCGGAGACGUGCCACCACCCCACGCACCUCGCGGCUGUACAGCUCGCGUUCCGCUCUCUCGGACGUUCCGCGGCGCGUCGCGUGAGCUGGCGUCCCGCUUCCCCGCUCCCGCGCACCGCUGGCAGACGGCGCGCUGGGAGCCGUCUCCGCGUCGCCACGUGGCCGAUGGCUCACGGAGACCCGCGACGUGGUCCAGCUUCCAGCUCUCACCAACUGACCUCGAGCCCCUUCCGGCUCUCCAUUAUAUCCCCUUCCCGCGUCACCCAGACUCUGCCCUUCACCACACCCCUUGAGAACUUUCCAGAUAAUACCACCCCCUAGCGCCCGCGGGCUCCACCC
Long non-coding RNA from Lethenteron reissneri (Far Eastern brook lamprey), 682 nucleotides. RefSeq lists it as uncharacterized. The record is from RefSeq and is a predicted model, not a curated record. NCBI's taxonomy places the organism in Eukaryota, Metazoa, Chordata, Hyperoartia, Petromyzontiformes, Petromyzontidae.